CCCCCCCCCCCCCCCCCCCUUCUUUUUUCUUCUGUUGCUUCUGUUCAACUUUGAAAUUACGUAGGGACUGUUCUCUUUGUCGUUUUCAAACCAUUUUCUGUUUUCAAUUUUUCAAAAUGGUGAAAACGCGUUCUCCUUCCCAUUUUCGAAAAUGCAUUUUGGAAAACCAAAAAAAAAAAAAUUUGUACACAAAACUCAAAACGUCAUACAUCUAAAAUGACGUUUUGAGUCACUAUAUUUGGAAAACAUGGAAAACGCUCUUUUUAGAUCUCUCUCAUUUCCAUUUCUCACAAUCCCUACGUCUCUCCCUCCUCUCUCUCCUUUACCUUUCCCCUUACUGAUACGGAUGGAUGCUCUCUCAUCGGAGCUCUAUCGUUUCAACACCCUCAUUUUCAAGUCACCACUUGUUUAUUAACUCAUCGGCCCAGGUGCUGCGCCAUCGAUUUAACUCGUCCAAACAAGGCUUCAUCCUCUGUUUGCCAAACAGCAGCAACACUAAGAGCUAAAGACCCACCCAAGUACUUGAGACAGGACGACUCGGAGUUCCGAAAAUAGAAACAGAAAGAAGCGGAAAUACUCAAAGACAUCGAGCCCAUUAUUUAUCUAACCAAAGAAAUCCUACACUCAAAUUGCCCGGAAGCUAUUGUGAGGCCAUUUUAGUGGUUCGAUAGUACAGGGUAGGAUAUAGCAACAAUGUUAUUCUUUUGCUAUGAUGCUGUAUACUGCUAUGGCAAUGAUAUAGGAUUGUAAAUAUUUCUAUCUUACAGAUAUUACAUGAACUUGUGGACGUGACACCUUUCUUCUGUAGAAUGAAUUCUAUUGAGCAAUUGAGGAAACUUAUUAGUCAUUUUUACAUAAAGAAAUAGGAUGGUCAAAUUCUGUUGCUACAUGUUUUGGCCCUUGUUAUUGUUUCCGUGUUUGUGAUAUGUAUAAUCAUUACGAACCUUGUAAUUUUUCUUUUUAAAACUUGUGUUUACUGAGAUUGGUGAAAUGGAACAAUUAGUCACAUCAAA
This is a long non-coding RNA of Olea europaea var. sylvestris, 1013 nucleotides long. RefSeq lists it as uncharacterized. The transcript is spliced from 2 exons. NCBI's taxonomy places the organism in Eukaryota, Viridiplantae, Streptophyta, Magnoliopsida, Lamiales, Oleaceae. The record is from RefSeq and is a predicted model, not a curated record.